UACAUUUUAAUCCAGAUAUUAUCAUGUCAUCCGAGCUUUCUGUGUAAAAAAUUAUAGCUAUAGCCUUAGUUGAUUUAUUAAACUUCAUUGAACUUAAUUUAUAAUUUUAGUAGUGUAUAAGAUAAACGUGGAAAACGGUAUUUUUUUUCUAUUAAUUUAAAAAAAAAAAAAAAAAUGGAUGGAGGCAAAUUAUUUUAGGGUGCACACAAAUCUUUCCGUGUUAAAAUGAAACUGGCAAAGAAAAUGAAACAAAACAGGCCAAUCCCACAGUGGGUCAGAAUGAAAACCGGCAACACAAUCAGGUACAAUGCCAAGAGGCGUCACUGGAGGAGAA
This is a long non-coding RNA of Gigantopelta aegis, 334 nucleotides long. RefSeq lists it as uncharacterized. NCBI's taxonomy places the organism in Eukaryota, Metazoa, Mollusca, Gastropoda, Neomphalida, Peltospiridae. The record is from RefSeq and is a predicted model, not a curated record. The transcript is spliced from 3 exons.